Molecule: ribosomal RNA, 805 nt
Filed under: uncultured Entrophospora
Lineage: Eukaryota; Fungi; Glomeromycota; Glomeromycetes; Entrophosporales; Entrophosporaceae
Description: SSU rRNA
Rfam family: Eukaryotic small subunit ribosomal RNA
Source: RNAcentral
AUCAACUUUCGAUGGUAGGAUAGAGGCCUACCAUGGUGGUAACGGGUAACGGGGUGUUAGGGCACGACACCGGAGAGGGAGCCUGAGAAACGGCUACCACAUCCAAGGAUGGCAGCAGGCGCGCAAAUUACCCAAUCCCGACACGGGGAGGUAGUGACAAUAAAUAACAAUACGGGGUUCUUUCGGAUCUCGUAAUUGGAAUGAGUACAAUUUAAAUCUCUUAACGAGGAACAAUUGGAGGGCAAGUCUGGUGCCAGCAGCCGCGGUAAUUCCAGCUCCAAUAGCGUAUAUUAAAGUUGUUGCAGUUAAAAAGCUCGUAGUUGAAUUUCGGGAUUGACGUGACGGUCGUGCCUUAAGGGGUAUGAACUGUUGCAGUCAAUUUCUCACCUUCUGGAGAAAUAUGAUGUCCUUAAUUGGGUGUCAUAUGAAACCAGAACUUUUACCUUGAAAAAAUUAGAGUGUUUAAAGCAAGCUUAUUGCUCGAAUACAUUAGCAUGGAAUAAUAAAAUAGGACGGCAUGAUUCUAUUUUGUUGGUUUCUAGGAUCACCGUAAUGAUUAAUAGGGAUAGUUGGGGGCAUUAGUAUUCAAUUGUCAGAGGUGAAAUUCUUGGAUUUAUUGAAGACUAACUACUGCGAAAGCAUUUGCCAAGGAUGUUUUCAUUAAUCAAGAACGAAAGUUAGGGGAUCGAAGACGAUCAGAUACCGUCGUAGUCUUAACCAUAAACUAUGCCGACUAGGGAUCGGAUGAUGUUAAUUUUUUAAUGACUCAUUCGGCGCCUUACGGGAAACCAAAGUGUUUGGGUUC